RNAcentral lists this ribosomal RNA (492 nucleotides) under uncultured bacterium. RNAcentral's name for it is "partial 16S ribosomal RNA". It matches the Rfam family "Bacterial small subunit ribosomal RNA", at positions 29 to 507 of the family's 1533-position model. The record is from RNAcentral.
AGUGAACGCUGGCGGUAGGCCUAACACGUGCAAGUCGAACGGCAGCACAGUAAGAGCUUGCUCUUACGGGUGGCGAGUGGCGGACGGGUGAGGAAUACAUCGGAAUCUACUUUUUCGUGGGGGAUAACGUAGGGAAACUUACGCUAAUACCGCAUACGACCUACGGGUGAAAGCAGGGGAUCUUCGGACCUUGCGCGAUUGAAUGAGCCGAUGUCGGAUUAGCUAGUUGGCGGGGUAAAGGCCCACCAAGGCGACGAUCCGUAGCUGGUCUGAGAGGAUGAUCAGCCACACUGGAACUGAGACACGGUCCAGACUCCUACGGGAGGCAGCAGUGGGGAAUAUUGGACAAUGGGCGCAAGCCUGAUCCAGCCAUACCGCGUGGGUGAAGAAGGCCUUCGGGUUGUAAAGCCCUUUUGCUGGGAAAGAAAAGCAGCAGGUUAAUACCCCGCUGUUCUGACGGUACCCAAAGAAUAAGCACCGGCUAACUUCGUG